UACAGAGGGGGCAAGCGUUGUUCGGAAUUACUGGGCGUAAAGGGCGCGUAGGCGGCCUGUUAAGUCGGACGUGAAAUCCCUCGGCUCAACCGGGGAACUGCGUCCGAUACUGGCGGGCUUGAAUUCGGGAGAGGGAUGUGGAAUUCCUGGUGUAGCGGUGAAAUGCGCAGAUAUCAGGAGGAACACCAAUUGCGAAGGCAGCUCGCUGGGACGUUACUGACGCUGAGACGCGAAAGCGUGGGGAGCAAACAGG
RNAcentral lists this ribosomal RNA (253 nucleotides) under uncultured bacterium. RNAcentral describes it as "partial 16S ribosomal RNA". It matches the Rfam family "Bacterial small subunit ribosomal RNA", at positions 524 to 776 of the family's 1533-position model. The record is from RNAcentral.